UACGUAGGGGGCAAGCGUUGUCCGGAAUUAUUGGGCGUAAAGCGCGUGCAGGCGGCUUGUUAAGUCGGAUGUUUAAUGUCGGGGCUCAACCCCGAUUCGCAUCCGAAACUGGCAAGCUUGAGUGUAGGAGAGGAAAGUGGAAUUCCACGUGUAGCGGUGAAAUGCGUAGAGAUGUGGAGGAACACCAGUGGCGAAGGCGACUUUCUGGCCUAUAACUGACGCUGAGGCGCGAAAGCGUGGGGAGCAAACAGG
Molecule: ribosomal RNA, 252 nt
Filed under: uncultured bacterium
Lineage: Bacteria
Description: partial 16S ribosomal RNA
Rfam family: Bacterial small subunit ribosomal RNA
Source: RNAcentral